GCCGUAAUCUCGCUGACUUGCGACGUAGCCAGCCCAGAGGGACGUUUACCAUGAGCACCACCCUGAGGCUGGGCAAACAGAUCCUUCAGUCCAUUGAAGCCAUCCAUUCUGUUGGGUUUCUGCAUCGUGACAUCAAGCCGUCCAACUUUGCAAUGGGACGUUUACCAUCGACCUACAGAAAGUGCUACAUGUUGGACUUUGGUCUAGCACGACAGUACACCAACACGAAUGGGGAGGUCCGGCCGUUUCUUUUGGAUUGUUGAUUCUUGUGUUCCGUCCUGCUGCCUUUGUUUGAUGAUCAGAUCUCCUGUCCCCUGCAUGUGCCCAUGGCUGUGUAAGGUGACAGCACUGUAGGAGUCUUUCAGCAGCAGCAGUGCUUGUCGCUACUUCAGUCAGUUUUACUGGACAGGCCCCUCUCUGACCCACAGCAGGACCUGCCUUCCAGCACACUCUCAGGCCAGUACCAUCAGGUGGGCAGGGGGUUGGAGUACCCUAGGAAUCUGGGUUCAGCCUGGGAGACCGGGGUCAGGGUUCAGG
This is a long non-coding RNA of Hemiscyllium ocellatum (epaulette shark), 537 nucleotides long. RefSeq lists it as uncharacterized. NCBI's taxonomy places the organism in Eukaryota, Metazoa, Chordata, Chondrichthyes, Orectolobiformes, Hemiscylliidae. The transcript has 3 exons. The record is from RefSeq and is a predicted model, not a curated record.